GAUGAACGCUGGCGGCGUGCCUAACACAUGCAAGUCGAACGGAGUUAUUAUUAUGAAGUUUUCGGAUGGAUUGAUAAUAACUUAGUGGCGGACGGGUGAGUAACGCGUGGGUAACCUGCCUCAUACAGGGGGAUAACAGUUGGAAACGGCUGCUAAAACCGCAUAAGCAUACAUUGCCGCAUGGCAGAGUGUGAAAAUAUUUAUAGGUAUGAGAUGGGCCCGCGUCUGAUUAGCUAGUUGGUGAGGUAAUGGCUCACCAAGGCAACGAUCAGUAGCCGGCUUGAGAGAGUGACCGGCCACAUUGGGACUGAGACACGGCCCAAACUCCUACGGGAGGCAGCAGUGGGGAAUAUUGCACAAUGGGGGAAACCCUGAUGCAGCGACGCCGCGUGAGUGAAGAAGUAUUUCGGUAUGUAAAGCUCUAUCAGCAGGGAAGAAAAUGACGGUACCUGACUAAGAAGCCCCGGCUAACUACGUGCCAGCAGCCGCGGUAAUACGUAGGGGGCAAGCGUUAUC
Molecule: ribosomal RNA, 516 nt
Filed under: uncultured bacterium
Lineage: Bacteria
Description: bacterial SSU rRNA
Rfam family: Bacterial small subunit ribosomal RNA
Source: RNAcentral